CCCUUCCCGGUACAGGACCCCCACCUUCGCUCCUGGGAGCCCCGCUGCACCCCAGGAGUUCCAUUCCAGCCUCCCCAGUGCGAGUGCGGCCGAGCGCUGACUUUUGGGGGCUCCCUCCCCCGUCUCACUGGGUCCCUCUGCGGCUCCCCCGCCCGCUGUCCCGGUUCAGACGUGGCUGCACCCCGGAGGGGGGCGCCGGCCGAGACCUGAGACGUGGCGCUCCCUCUCUGCCGGCCUCGGCUUCAGUGCUUGAAUUUCAGCCACAUCCCUAAGCUGCCAUCUCAGACCAGAGGAACAGGGAGGGGGGCUUUCUGGAAAGAACAUCACCUGGAAGAAAUCAGGACAUGACUGUGGGCCAUGAGUGACCUUCAAAGGAAAGCCGGGUAUCUGUGGUCUUUAAGAUGUGGUAAGAUUGUAUUAAAAUUAUAGAAAAAAACCUCAAUCCAGAAAUCGUGGCCUCUUGACAUUUACAUCUUAACUGCAUUUUCCUACCAAUGAGAUGCAUUACAAUCAUCCUCCAUAAGUGUUCUCUUUUUACCCCUGUUUCCAUUCUUUUAGAUCCAUGACAUUUAAAAACUGAAGAAAUGGAAAGAUCAUCUGAUCAGGCCCAUCAGUCUUUUUCCUAAUGCUAAACAUUGGUACAAAGACGUGAAGUUUGAUGUCUCACUAAGAUUGCCUAGGGCUGCUUUAUUGCUCACCUACUUCAAAGUAUUGGGAAAACAUGAUUAUGGGUACAGGUGAUGCUGUGUUGCCCCCAGACAGGUUUCUUUUGUCAGGUUCUUUUGAUGGAUUAGGAACCUACAAGUGGGGAGAUUUUAGGGAAAUAGCCCCUCCACUUGGAUUUCAC
This 847-nucleotide long non-coding RNA is filed under the name Homo sapiens (human). RNAcentral describes it as "non-protein coding SNHG18:7". The record is from RNAcentral. Lineage: Eukaryota; Metazoa; Chordata; Mammalia; Primates; Hominidae.